RNAcentral lists this ribosomal RNA (376 nucleotides) under uncultured eukaryote. RNAcentral's name for it is "partial 18S ribosomal RNA". It matches the Rfam family "Eukaryotic small subunit ribosomal RNA", at positions 592 to 976 of the family's 1831-position model. The record is from RNAcentral.
CAAUAGCGUAUAUUAAAGUUGUUGCAGUUAAAAAGCUCGUAGUUGGAUUUUGGUAUGGAUGCGGUGGUCCGCCGAUUGGUGAGUACUGCCGUGUGCAUGCCCCCUCUCAUAGACCUGCGGUGGUCUUAACUGGCUGCUGUAUGGGGUAUGGGAUUUUUACUUUGAAAAAAUUAGAGUGUUCAAAGCAGGCCUUUGCUUGAAUACAUUAGCAUGGAAUAAUAAGAUAGGACUUUGGUCUAUUUUGUUGGUUUGCAGACCGAAGUAAUGAUUAAUAGGGAUAGUUGGGGGUAUUUAUAUUCCGAUGUCAGAGGUGAAAUUCUUAGAUUUUCGGAAGAUAAACUUAUGCGAAAGCAUUUACCAAGGAUGUUUUCAUUAA